CUAGAGAUUCCUACGGGAGGCAGCAGUGGGGAAUAUUGCACAAUGGGCGCAAGCCUGAUGCAGCAACGCCGCGUGAGGGAUGACGGCCUUCGGGUUGUAAACCUCUUUUAGCAGGGAAGAAGCGAAAGUGACGGUACCUGCAGAAAAAGCGCCGGCUAACUACGUGCCAGCAGCCGCGGUA
RNAcentral lists this ribosomal RNA (181 nucleotides) under uncultured bacterium. RNAcentral describes it as "partial 16S ribosomal RNA". It matches the Rfam family "Bacterial small subunit ribosomal RNA", at positions 329 to 522 of the family's 1533-position model. The record is from RNAcentral.